Non-coding RNA from Pelobates cultripes (western spadefoot toad), 221 nucleotides. The record is from the annotation of a GenBank genome assembly. Lineage: Eukaryota; Metazoa; Chordata; Amphibia; Anura; Pelobatidae.
GGAUAUUAUGGCAUGAGAAAAAGUGCAGAGGCGGGCUACAAAAUCAAUAAAAGGAAUGGAACAUAUCAGCUAUGAAGAAAGGUUAACAAAUUUAAACCUAUUUAGUUUAGAAAAAUGUCGCCUGAGAGGGGAUAUGAUCACAUUAUACAAAUAUAUUCAGGGCCAGUACAAACCAUUGUGUGGAAAUCUAUUCACAAACCGGACUUUACAUAGGACACGAG